RNAcentral lists this ribosomal RNA (585 nucleotides) under uncultured Planctomycetota bacterium. Its description in RNAcentral is "bacterial SSU rRNA". It matches the Rfam family "Bacterial small subunit ribosomal RNA", at positions 346 to 925 of the family's 1533-position model. The record is from RNAcentral. Lineage: Bacteria; Pseudomonadati; Planctomycetota.
UGGCUGCAGUCGAGGAUCUUCGGCAAUGGGCGCAAGCCUGACCGAGCGACGCCGCGUGCGGGAUGAAGGCCUUCGGGUUGUAAACCGCUGUCGUAGAGGAGGAAAUGCAGGGGGGUUCUCCCUUCUGUUUGACCUAUUCUAGGAGGAAGUACGGGCUAAGUUCGUGCCAGCAGCCGCGGUAAGACGAACCGUACAAACGUUACUCGGAAUUACUGGGCUUAAAGGGUGCGUAGGCUGCGCGGAAAGUUGGGUGUGAAAGCCCUCGGCUCAACCGAGGAAUUGCACUCAAAACUACCGUGCUUGAGGGAGACAGAGGUAAGCGGAACUCAAGGUGGAGCGGUGAAAUGCGUUGAUAUCUUGAGGAACACCGGUGGCGAAGGCGGCUUACUGGGUCUUUUCUGACGCUGAGGCACGAAAGCUAAGGUAGCAAACGGGAUUAGAUACCCCGGUAGUCUUAGCUGUAAACGAUGAGCACUUGAUUGGAGGGUCCUCCAUAGCCUUCCAGUCGUAGCGAAAGUGUUAAGUGCUCCGCCUGGGGAGUAUGGUCGCAAGGCUGAAACUCAAAGAAAUUGACGGGGGCUCACA